AUGCCCCCACUCUCCUUGCAACCAAGGAGCCCACACCCCUUCCCCCAGUGUCUCUUCCAUCAGUCCAAGGCUGAGGCAACCCAGUUGCUUCCGAAGCAAGAUGACCAAGUUUGGAAGAGACGGCUGAAGCAUCUGUCCCUGGCAGAAGCUCUGUCUUGCGCUCAGACACUCUACCCAGACUUUGUUCCUGGCGGCACCAGAGAACUUCCCCAGCCCGGGGAGGAAUCUCUGAGGAUCACAGGCCUUAUGCUAAGGAUUUCACGUUGCCUUAUCUCCAUUCAUCUUCACAAGGACCUGAGAGAUGGCUUCUGUGAUUGUCCACAUUUUAAGGAUAAGAAGCUGAGGCUCAUGGAGUGCGAAGUCACACAGGAAAUGGCCAAGUGGGAUCUGAACACAGUUAAAUUGAAGUUUUCAACCCAAGAUUUAGAUCAUAUCUGACUCAAAGGCAUUAUUAGAUGUUGGCUCCCUUCCCUAGGCUUUGGGAGUCAAGGAUUCUGGGGUUUGCAGAGUGACACCACAGGGCAUCUCGAAUCCCACCUCAAAACUCACCCACAGCCUCUCCCUCGGGCUCUCCCCACGCAACGGGCUGCCUUGGGAAACACUGACUUCCCAGCCGUGUGACUCCAAGCUUCAAUCACAGUCUCUUACGUGGAUGAAAUGACACUCCCCUCCAGGGACCAGCACAGCAAUUUGUUUUGGCUGUGUUCAAAGCCAAGCUCAGUGAUGAGGGCCUGAUUUCCCACACCCUGGAGUGACUCAGAGCAUCAGAGAUGAAAUGAAAGGUUUCGAAGGAGAGAAGAUGGAGCCCUGCCUCCGUUCAGAUGUGUGGUGCUGGGAAAUUUAUCGCCCUGUGUUCUCAGGGUGAGAAAUGGGAGCCAACCCAGGGGCCUGGCAAUAGGAGAAGUGUUUCCACAUCAGCCACUCUUUUGCAUCUCUUUUAAAAUAGGCGCGUGCAUUUAUUCUAUCUGUUGAUUCGUGAAUUCAUCAAGUGUUUAUUGACUCCCUGCGAUGUGCAGAACACUGGGGAAGAUCCUAGUGAUGCAGCAGAGGACAGGAUGGUGGCACCCUGGCCAGGGGCACACCAGUCCAUCAGGACAGACCAGCAAUUCAUGGGUAAUUCCAACAUGCACAAGGCGAGAGGACUUACAGGUGGCCAUCCUAUAUAGAGGCCUUCCAGCACAAUUGCAGGGUAAAUUUAAUGACCUGGGAAAAUCCUUAUGCUAAAGCAUUAAGUGAAAAAGCAGGCUACAAAAUUUCUCAUGGAGCAUAAUUCCAACUUUAUUAUAAAAAUAUAUGUGUACAUGAAUAAGGAAAAAGACUCAUAAGGAAAUGCAUAAAAAUGUCAAC
Molecule: long non-coding RNA, 1347 nt
Filed under: Sus scrofa (pig)
Lineage: Eukaryota; Metazoa; Chordata; Mammalia; Artiodactyla; Suidae
Description: lncRNA (ENSSSCG00070000773.1)
Source: RNAcentral